Castor canadensis (American beaver) is the source of this 1029-nucleotide non-coding RNA. NCBI's taxonomy places the organism in Eukaryota, Metazoa, Chordata, Mammalia, Rodentia, Castoridae. The record is from RefSeq and is a predicted model, not a curated record.
GUCUCCCUUCAGAGAAGAACCCAUAUGUUUUUAAUGGUGAUUUUGUAGAUCGAGGAAAAAAUUCCAUAGAGAUCCUAAUGGUCUUGCUUGUGAGUUUUCUUGUCUACCCCAAUAACUUGCACUUGAACAGAGGAAACCAUGAAGAUUUUAUGAUGAAUUUGAGAUAUGGGUUCACAAGAGAAGUUUUACAUAAAUACAAGGUACCUACUGGGAUUUGUUUUAUUCUACUAUGGUACAGCAGGCAGACACAGAAAUGACUGUCAUGAAGAAAGAGAUUUUUAUUCCCAGUUACCUGGAAACAGUAGGCAUUGCAUGCCACACUGGUGUGGGGGGGAAUUACAUGGGGGAGUACCAGAGUCAGUCAGAAGGUGGAAGGAAUCAGGGAAAAGAUGGACAAAAGCAUUUACUGUGGUUUUCCUGGGAGGGAAAGGCAAGGUGUCUCGGGGUAAUCAGGCUUAAGAUUGACUAGUUAGAAUAAUGUCAGCCUGCUCUGGGGCAUAAAUAAGGGUUGUCCCUAGGUGUUUGGUACCUGGCCCUGGGGUGAUUAGUACCCCUGAGUGUGGGAGCUUAAUAAAAGAGGUCUUAGGAGCUGUGGGCUUUAAAUUGGUUGAUUUACAUAUGGGCAACAAGUCACUUAUUAUCUCUAGGAAUUAGUCCUGGGUGGGACAAUCUCUCCUCUAGGUUGGGCAAGCCCCCAAGAUGUCCAAGUAUCACUAAUACAAGCCAGGCUUAGUGCCAGUGGUUCACACCUGUAAUCCUAGCUGCUUGGGAGGCUGAGAUUGGGAAGAUUGGGGUUUGAUGCUCACCCAGGCAAAACUGUAGUGAGGCUCAAUGUUACCCAAUAGAUGGGCAUGGUGGCCUGUGUCUGUCAUCCCAAGCUGUGCAGGAGGAAGAGAUUGGAAGAACUGUGUAUCUGAGACAGCCCAUGCAAAAAAGUUUGCAAGACCCCAUCUCAAUGGAAAAAAAGCUGGGUGUGGUAGUAUAUACUUGUCAUCCCAGCCACCGUAGAAGUGUAAAAUAGGAGAAUCA